Molecule: long non-coding RNA, 1152 nt
Filed under: Ricinus communis (castor bean)
Lineage: Eukaryota; Viridiplantae; Streptophyta; Magnoliopsida; Malpighiales; Euphorbiaceae
Description: long non-coding RNA (RCOM_LNC001363)
Source: RNAcentral
UCUUUUGUUAUUAGAUAAUUCAGCCUUCCCGCCAGCUCAACCCGAGGCGUAGGAGCGGACUGUGGAACGCAUCAAAUCUGUGAGUUAAAGUCAUUUAAUCUUUGCACUAUUGCUAGGUCUGAUUUUAAUACGCUAUUUUAGAAUUUAUGCUUAACAUGAUUAUUAGUAUCACAAAAUAAAUGAUUUCACUUGAUUAAUAAUAUUUGAAAUAAGAUAAAUAUUAUUAUUAUUAAUGUUAUAAUAAUACAAGCGUUAUUAUUUUUCCCCCUCACGAAUUGCACGUUGUUUUACCCUAAAUCGUUAAUCUUUGUUUCGAUAUGUGUUGGGUGAGUUCAUUAGAUAAUGAUAUUUAUUAUUUGUGAUGAUUGAGAAUUGGGAAAUGUGGCUUUCGUAGAACAUGCCACCUGAUGGGUUACAUCAGGACCGUGUGCGCACCGGUAAUGAUCAUGGACAUGUAAUAAGAUUUUUAUGGGUUUGCCCUGGUCGAGCAUGGCUCUCUGGGCUGAUUUGUGUAAAUUGCCGGAGGUAAGGUCCCUGGUCGAGCAUUGCUCUCGGGGCGCCAGUCUUAUUGGAUUAAGAGAGCCAAAAUGGCUGUUAGAAUUUGGGGUUAGGGUUCUACUUAGCCACACGUCCCGUGAAAGUAAAAAUGUCUUUAUUUAUUUACUCUCUCUCCUUUUAUCAUUUUAUUAUUAUGGUGUAUGAUUAUAUAUUAUGAUUGCAAUUAUAUUCAGAAAUUGGUAUAUUGUUUUGAAUAAUUAAUAUAUCAUGUGAAGGUUGCAAUAGUCCUUAGAUUAUUUGAUUUUAACUCACUCCCGAGACUGACAGUCUCAAUUGUAAAUUUUUCAGGUGGCAGUUAAAGACCUUCGCCAUCGCACAUUUGACAGUCCGACUUCUUCUUCUUCGGACUUUUGUAAUUAUCUUGUACUUCUAUACUUAUCAUUAUUACUCUAGAGUAUCCGCAGUAGAAAAUUUUAAAAUUUAUAUAGCUAUUCUGACUCAUGUUGGUAGUAUGAUGAUUCAUUUAUGCAAUACAAUUAUGAAUACUUUAUAUUUUGUUAUUUGACUAUCUGGAUUUAUGGGUUGGUAAGGCUUGCUACGGGUUUUGGUAGCCUUAAGCCUACCCAUUCCCUAGUGCCGGUCACGGGCCCACAA